AUUGGCAACUCUGCCUAUCCCGCGCUCUCGGAGGCGGCGCCCUGGAGACGAAGAAGGACCUAUCAAAGCCCAGAAGGUUGAUAUGGAGGCAAAUGCAGCUUCUCCAAAGCCCAAUUUUUCUGAAGUUGGAUCCCAGGGAAUAAUCUCGGAAAGACGGGCCAGGCGCGUCCUCUGGGCCCACGGAUGUGGGGACAUCGGCGCCACAUUAGAGAGUCAGGAAAGAGAUCCAGUAGGAAAGAUGGACAGCUUGCACGGAAUCCAGACUUUGGGCAACGGAGGCGGGGCUUUGCCAGGGAAGGCUGCUUCACACAGUCCCGGGCCCCGGGGACAAGCUGGCAAAGCAUCCCUCAGCUGAGGAGGUACACGAGAGGGCCAUGUCCCAGAAGCCCUGAGAUGCUCCAAGCCCUGGUCUUCAGGGACAGCCAGA
RNAcentral lists this long non-coding RNA (427 nucleotides) under Sarcophilus harrisii (Tasmanian devil). Its description in RNAcentral is "lncRNA (ENSSHAG00000024826.1)". The record is from RNAcentral. Lineage: Eukaryota; Metazoa; Chordata; Mammalia; Dasyuromorphia; Dasyuridae.